RNAcentral lists this ribosomal RNA (774 nucleotides) under uncultured Neocallimastigales. Its description in RNAcentral is "partial large subunit ribosomal RNA". It matches the Rfam family "Eukaryotic large subunit ribosomal RNA", at positions 23 to 647 of the family's 3401-position model. The record is from RNAcentral. Lineage: Eukaryota; Fungi; Neocallimastigomycota; Neocallimastigomycetes; Neocallimastigales.
AGAGAGAGACAUGCGCGCAUAUCAAUAAGCGGAGGAAAAGAAACUAACAAGGAUUCCCCUAGUAACGGCGAGUGAAGCGGGAAGAGCUCAAAUUUGAAAUCUUAAAGGGUUUCCCUUUACGAAUUGUAGUUUAAAGAAGUGUUUUCUGUUGAGGUUUUGGUAAAAGUUCUUUGGAAUAGGACAUCAUAGAGGGUGAGAAUCCCGUAUUUGACCUUUACUUUCAACUUUGUGAUACACUUUCAAAGAGUCGGAUUGUUUGGGAAUGCAGUCCAAAAUGGGUGGUAAAUUUCAUCUAAAGCUAAAUAUUGGCGAGAGACCGAUAGCGAACAAGUACCGUGAGGGAAAGAUGAAAAGAACUUUGAAAAGAGAGUUAAACAGUACGUGAAAUUGUCAAAAGGGAAGCGUUUGACACCAGUGUUGUUUUUCUGAAAAUCAAUUAAAGAACUGUUUAUGCUAAGUUGUUUAGACUUUAUCAGCUAACUGUUUAGUUUUGAGCUUUUCUUUAAUGCACUUUUCAGUUAACAAGUCAACAUCAAUUUCUUUCGCUGUAAAAAAGCUUGAGGAAGGUGGCUUGAGAUUCGUCUUAAGUGUUUAUAGCCUCUUGCCUAUGCAGUCGGAGAGAUUGAGGUCUGCAGCGUAGAUCCUUCGGGGCUAAAUGCAUUUGUGCUAAGUUAUAGCAUUUUAUAGACAACUUGUUGACUAUGAUUUGUCUUGUAGCUUACUCGCUUAUGUUAUUUUACCUACGCUUAGGAUGUUGACGCAUGAGAUAUACGC